UAGGAAUUACUAUUUUAAGAAAGUGUGAGAAAAUAUUAAGGUAAAAAGGUUAAAAUAAUAUUAUUUUCGUUUCCAAAACGCGUGUUCAACAGUUUCUCACACAAAAACUGAGAUUGUCUUCGAAAGGGGGAAUUAAUAUCACUUUAAACAAGAUCAGGUGUGUAAUAGGUCAUCGAGAUAGUUAAAGUGUGUAACUGACUUUUCGGGACAAGUUUAGGG
Molecule: long non-coding RNA, 219 nt
Filed under: Solanum tuberosum (potato)
Lineage: Eukaryota; Viridiplantae; Streptophyta; Magnoliopsida; Solanales; Solanaceae
Description: long non-coding RNA (STUB_LNC011040)
Source: RNAcentral